CACAUGUGCAAUAGUGGGUGAUGAAUCAGAAUUAAACUAACUGCCCCUGGGUAGUCUUAAAGCAAAGCUUCAACUGUGAUUGGUAGACGUAAAAAUUAGGGAAAGGCACAGGAAGUAACGUAAAAGAAAAAAAAUCUUCCUGAGUGAGUUCUACUUGGAGUUCUUGGAGUGGAGGCUAAAAAAGAAUCUGCUGACUGGACCUGAGACCCUGUUCCUGAUGAGACUAUCCUUAAUAAGUCUCUUUCUUUGGACUGACACAUGAAUCAACCUUCUUCCUCUCUGCCUUAAAAUCCAAGAAAAGAGUAGAGUUUGGAGACUGGGAGCCUGGUGAGGGAGUAAAUCUAAAAGGCUCUUGCAGAAUCUUUCCUCUUCCUACUGGACCAGACGUGAAGGAUUGUGGGGGAGAGCAGUGAAGAGGGGGAUGGGAAGCACUUGCAGUAGCUGCUAAUCGAUAGUGGCUGAUGUGCACUCCGUGGCUAUCAGUUAUGUAUAUUCAGUAAUGGCUUAAAAUGGACUUGCCUAGAGGAAGCACACUUAUGUCUUAGCAUAAAAUCUUGAUGUAGAGCUUUAUUCAAGCUCUGAGAGGUAGAAGUGAUUGAAUGGUGAAUUAGCUCCAGCUCAGAGGCUCUUUACCUCAAUACCUGGAGGAAAAUGAGCUCCUCUUUCUUUCAUUCCCUUGGUCUCAGUUCUUUUUUAGUGUAUGCUAAAUGCAAGAAAUAAAACUAUGCAAAAAUAUGUCA
Molecule: long non-coding RNA, 740 nt
Filed under: Monodelphis domestica (gray short-tailed opossum)
Lineage: Eukaryota; Metazoa; Chordata; Mammalia; Didelphimorphia; Didelphidae
Description: lncRNA (ENSMODG00000030468.2)
Source: RNAcentral